GGAUCCUUAGCUCAGUUGGUUAGAGCACCUGCCUUACAAGCAGGGGGUCGUAGGUUCGAGUCCUACAGGGUCCACCA
RNAcentral lists this transfer RNA (77 nucleotides) under Mollicutes bacterium. RNAcentral describes it as "tRNA-Val". It matches the Rfam family "tRNA". From Rfam's summary of the family: Transfer RNA (tRNA) molecules are approximately 80 nucleotides in length. Their secondary structure includes four short double-helical elements and three loops (D, anti-codon, and T loops). RNAcentral also lists the same sequence under 1 other name. The record is from RNAcentral. Lineage: Bacteria; Bacillati; Mycoplasmatota; Mollicutes.